Non-coding RNA from Lolium perenne, 1368 nucleotides. The record is from RefSeq and is a predicted model, not a curated record. Lineage: Eukaryota; Viridiplantae; Streptophyta; Magnoliopsida; Poales; Poaceae.
GGUUCAAAAAAGCGUACGCUUUCUUGCGCUUAAGCGUGAAAGCGAGCGAAGCGGAAGGCUAACGCUCGGUUUCAGCCCAAAGCGUACAGUUAAGCGAAAAGCGAAAAAAGCGGUCCGAUUAAGCGCUGAGCGUGCGCUUCCUCGCGCGGAAGCGAAAGAACGCGGAAGAAAUGCGAAGCUUGAGCGUCGAUGGUUGCCGGCAGGAAUCGGAAAAAUCUGGGAGUACGUGGGAGGGAAUCGGCGCAAUUAAGGUUGCGUAGAAGCCGAAUCGACCAUGCCUCCCGUCCAUAAAGGGAGAGAUGGAGGCGGCACAGCUCCUCGUGCUCAGGCCGGCCUGCUGCUCCCUGCUCCUCGUCCGCCGCCGGGGAAGGGCCUCCUCCGCCUCCCUCCGUCUCUUCCUCCAGGCCACCAGGACGUCGGCUCCUCUCCUCCAGGCAGCGCCCUUCAUCCCCUCUCCGACUAGACGCCCAGAGCCCCAGGCCGGACCCCAGAUCGAUCUUGACUCCGGCCAGGCGCGCACAUCAGUACUUGGUUGGAUUGCUGCUUGCUGGACGGAUGCGUCGAUGCAUUGUGGAUUGAUCUGUUGGAUGGUGGAAGAUGUAUGGAACAGAAGUUCCUUUGUUGCAAAACAUGGCAAUGAGGAUCCUAUCAUUGACUUCUAGCUCUUCCGGCUGUGAAAGAAACUGGAGCAUAUAUGAAAUGAUUCACACCAAGAGAAGAAAUAGACUAACAACGGACCGCCUCAACAAUAUGGUCUAUAUACAAUUCAAUACAAGGAUGUUGUCCAAGAGACAAAGGUUGAAGGAUAAGAGGAAAGCUGAUUCUCUUCUAAGUACUGACGCAUCUGAAGCUCAAGGAUGGCUCUUCAAAGGAGGGGAUGAUUAUGCAGUGGUUGUUUUUAGAGAUGAGGAGGAUGGAGACCAAGGUGUGCAUCCGGCUUCGGGGAUACCAUAUGAUGUGAUAGGAGAAGCAAUGGGAGCACAAGAGCAGCUCCAAGUUCGUAGGAGCGCAAGAGUGAGAGAUCUUGAGGAGGAGGAGUUCGAGUCCGAUGAAGAGGAUGUGCUAGAGGAGGAUGAAAUUGAGUAUGAGGAUGAUGAUGAGUAUUGAGCGCUUCAUGUUCAUGAUCAUACCAUCAUAGACAGAUGCCUUGGAGUCUUGGGGAUAUGAUGGCGUCCAUGUGUGCUUAAUUGAGUUAAUUCUUGUGUUUUGUUAUGUUGUGUGGAACUUGCCACUGGAACUUGGAACCUCUUUUCUUUCAUCUAAUGUUGUGUGAGAGCAACGUGAGACUAUGCAGCAAUCAGCAUGCACUAAUAUGUUGUGUGGCCAUGUGGGUCUUAUAAGUUAUAAUAUUGCUUGUUAGUUGUUUCU